AGCAGCCGCGGUAAUUCCAGCUCCAAUAGCGUAUAUUAAAGUUGUUGCAGUUAAAAAGCUCGUAGUUGAAUUUCGGGGUUAGUAGAUCGGUCAUGCCUCUGGUAUGCACUGGUCUUACUGAUUUCUCCUUCCUGAUGAACCGGAAUGCCAUUAAUUUGGUGUUGCGGGGAAACUGGACUGUUACUUUGAAAAAUUAGAGUGUUUAAAGCAGGCUAACGCUUGAAUACAUUAGCAUGGAAUAAUGAAAUAGGACGUUCGAUC
This 261-nucleotide ribosomal RNA is filed under the name uncultured Glomus. RNAcentral's name for it is "partial 18S ribosomal RNA". It matches the Rfam family "Eukaryotic small subunit ribosomal RNA", at positions 569 to 836 of the family's 1831-position model. The record is from RNAcentral. Lineage: Eukaryota; Fungi; Glomeromycota; Glomeromycetes; Glomerales; Glomeraceae.